This 625-nucleotide ribosomal RNA is filed under the name Methanosarcina sp. enrichment culture clone A06. RNAcentral describes it as "bacterial SSU rRNA". It matches the Rfam family "Archaeal small subunit ribosomal RNA", at positions 57 to 681 of the family's 1478-position model. The record is from RNAcentral. Lineage: Archaea; Methanobacteriati; Methanobacteriota; Methanomicrobia; Methanosarcinales; Methanosarcinaceae.
GUCAUAUGUUCUUCGUGAACAUGGCGUACUGCUCAGUAACACGUGGAUAACCUGCCCUUGGGUCCGGCAUAACCCCGGGAAACUGGGGAUAAUUCCGGAUAACGCACAUAUGCUGGAAUGCUUUAUGCGUCAAAUGGAUUCGUCUGCCCAAGGAUGGGUCUGCGGCCUAUCAGGUAGUAGUGGGUGUAAUGUACCUACUAGCCGACGACGGGUACGGGUUGUGAGAGCAAGAGCCCGGAGAUGGAUUCUGAGACAUGAAUCCAGGCCCUACGGGGCGCAGCAGGCGCGAAAACUUUACAAUGCGGGAAACCGUGAUAAGGGGACACCGAGUGCCAGCAUCAUAUGCUGGCUGUCCGGGUGUGUAAAAUACACCUGUUAGCAAGGGCCGGGCAAGACCGGUGCCAGCCGCCGCGGUAACACCGGCGGCCCGAGUGGUGAUCGUGAUUAUUGGGUCUAAAGGGUCCGUAGCCGGUUUGGUCAGUCCUCCGGGAAAUCUGACGGCUUAACCGUUAGGCUUUCGGAGGAUACUGCCAGGCUUGGAACCGGGAGAGGUAAGAGGUACUACAGGGGUAGGAGUGAAAUCUUGUAAUCCCUGUGGGACCACCUGUGGCGAAGGCGUCUUACC